This 500-nucleotide ribosomal RNA is filed under the name uncultured bacterium. RNAcentral's name for it is "partial 16S ribosomal RNA". It matches the Rfam family "Bacterial small subunit ribosomal RNA", at positions 30 to 523 of the family's 1533-position model. The record is from RNAcentral.
AUUGAACGCUGGCGGCAUGCCUUACACAUGCAAGUCGAACGGCAGCACGGGAGCAAUCCUGGUGGCGAGUGGCGAACGGGUGAGUAAAGUAUCGGAACGUGCCCAGUCGUGGGGGAUAACGUAGCGAAGGUUACGCUAAUACCGCAUACGAUCUAUGGAUGAAAGCGGGGGAUCGCAAGACCUCGCGCGAUUGGAGCGGCCGAUAUCAGAUUAGGUAGUUGGUGGGGUAAAGGCUCACAAAGCCGACGAUCUGUAGCUGGUCUGAGAGGACGACCAGCCACGCUGGGACUGAGACACGGCCCAGACUCCUACGGGAGGCAGCAGUGGGGAAUUUUGGACAAUGGGCGAAAGCCUGAUCCAGCCAUGCCGCGUGCAGGAUGAAGGCCUUCGGGUUGUAAACUGCUUUUGUACGGAACGAAAAGGUUUGGCCUAAUAAGCUGAGCUCAUGACGGUACCGUAAGAAUAAGCACCGGCUAACUACGUGCCAGCCGCCGCGGUAA